AGUGAACGCUGGCGGUAGGCCUAACACAUGCAAGUCGAACGGCAGCACAGUAAGAGCUUGCUCUUACGGGUGGCGAGUGGCGGACGGGUGAGGAAUACAUCGGAAUCUACUUUUUCGUGGGGGAUAACGUAGGGAAACUUACGCUAAUACCGCAUACGACCUACGGGUCAAAGCAGGGGAUCUUCGGACCUUGCGCGAUUGAAUGAGCCGAUGUCGGAUUAGCUAGUUGGCGGGGUAAAGGCCCACCAAGGCGACGAUCCGUAGCUGGUCUGAGAGGAUGAUCAGCCACACUGGAACUGAGACACGGUCCAGACUCCUACGGGAGGCAGCAGUGGGGAAUAUUGGACAAUGGGCGCAAGCCUGAUCCAGCCAUACCGCGUGGGUGAAGAAGGCCUUCGGGUUGUAAAGCCCUUUUGUUGGGAAAGAAAAGCAGCAGGUUAAUACCCCGCUGUUCUGACGGUACCCAAAGAACAAGCACCGGCUAACUUCGUG
Molecule: ribosomal RNA, 492 nt
Filed under: uncultured bacterium
Lineage: Bacteria
Description: partial 16S ribosomal RNA
Rfam family: Bacterial small subunit ribosomal RNA
Source: RNAcentral